GCCCAGCUGGCUCAGUCAGUGGAGCACGUGACUCUUGAUCUCAGGGUCGUGGGUUCGAGCCUCAUGUUGGGUG
RNAcentral lists this transfer RNA (73 nucleotides) under Ailuropoda melanoleuca (giant panda). It matches the Rfam family "tRNA". Rfam says of the family: Transfer RNA (tRNA) molecules are approximately 80 nucleotides in length. Their secondary structure includes four short double-helical elements and three loops (D, anti-codon, and T loops). Lineage: Eukaryota; Metazoa; Chordata; Mammalia; Carnivora; Ursidae. The record is from Rfam by way of RNAcentral.